RNAcentral lists this ribosomal RNA (481 nucleotides) under uncultured bacterium. RNAcentral's name for it is "bacterial SSU rRNA". It matches the Rfam family "Bacterial small subunit ribosomal RNA", at positions 30 to 507 of the family's 1533-position model. The record is from RNAcentral.
UUGAACGCUGGCGGCAUGCUUUACACAUGCAAGUCGAACGGUAACAGGUCUUCGGAUGCUGACGAGUGGCGAACGGGUGAGUAAUGCAUCGGAACGUGCCCAGUCGUGGGGGAUAACGCAGCGAAAGCUGUGCUAAUACCGCAUACGAUCUAUGGAUGAAAGCGGGGGAUCGCAAGACCUCGCGCGAUUGGAGCGGCCGAUGUCAGAUUAGCUAGUUGGUGGGGUAAAGGCCCACCAAGGCGACGAUCUGUAGCUGGUCUGAGAGGACGACCAGCCACACUGGGACUGAGACACGGCCCAGACUCCUACGGGAGGCAGCAGUGGGGAAUUUUGGACAAUGGGCGCAAGCCUGAUCCAGCAAUGCCGCGUGCAGGAAGAAGGCCUUCGGGUUGUAAACUGCUUUUGUACGGAACGAAAAGGUCUGGGUUAAUACCCUGGGCUCAUGACGGUACCGUAAGAAUAAGCACCGGCUAACUACGUG